Molecule: long non-coding RNA, 439 nt
Organism: Dermacentor silvarum
Lineage: Eukaryota; Metazoa; Arthropoda; Arachnida; Ixodida; Ixodidae
Exons: 3
Source: RefSeq, a predicted model, not a curated record
GUACUGCUCCCUUUUUUGGGUGCUGCUGGUUUGAUAAAGACAUAAUUAUCGUUCACUGCGCGAACCCACGUAAUACGUAGUAUUCUGCUUGGUGUCAUAAACUUUCCAGCAACUGUUAUGACUGUUUUCUAUUCAUCACUCCAGCACACAGCCGGCAUUGCAGACACCUAGAACUGGAGCGUCAUGUGUUCACACUUCGUUCAGAGUACAAUCCAGGAGCAUCACACGACGAUGAAACAGGCAGUAACGGUGCUGGUUCUAAUAGUGAAAAUUUCAGUUGCUCUACGGACCCCUGAUAUCCACUGCCCUGUGAGAUACAAUGAAAGUGGGUGCUUUUUUCUAGGUCACUAUGUUCGACCUGGUCAAACUAUGGAACUUAAAAAUCCCUGUGUUUUUAUUUCAUGUUCUCUGAGUGGACUGACAGUUUCAAUCACUGGGU